Daucus carota subsp. sativus is the source of this 1757-nucleotide RNA transcript. It is a transcript of the gene named probable glycosyltransferase At5g03795, with no coding region annotated. The record is from RefSeq and is a predicted model, not a curated record. The transcript has 6 exons. NCBI's taxonomy places the organism in Eukaryota, Viridiplantae, Streptophyta, Magnoliopsida, Apiales, Apiaceae.
GAUCUUAACAAAACAUUACAGAAAGGAAUGUGCAGACAGGACUGCUGUUUAUCAACUUGUAAAUACUAAUAUAUCUGGUGGGAGUAGAUCUGAAAUUGGAAGGCAAGAUUUAAGCAAGAAAAAUCUCGGCGAGACGAGAAUCAAUCGAGCGCGGCGUAAUGCCACAGGUAGCAUCAUCAAAAGCUGUACAAUCUUCUUCUUCAUCCGUAUGGACUCGCCACUCCUCACUCAUCUCUCUCGCAACCCUAACCCUCAUCUCCCUCACUUACUUGUCCCAAAAAUCUCUUCGGAUCCCUUCUAUGGUCCAAGCCAAGUCAGAGAUUAUCAGUAUAAAAGAUGAAGUAUCCGACGAUGUGUAUCACUCCCCGGAGAUCUUCAGGUUGAAUUACGCAGAGAUGGAGAAGAAAUUCAAAGUGUUUAUAUACCCGGAUGGCGAUCCCAAUACGUUUUAUCAAACACCCAGGAAGCUUACGGGCAAGUACGCUAGUGAGGGCUAUUUCUUUCAGAAUAUUAGGGAGAGUGGGUUUCGCACAGAGGAUCCGGAUCAAGCCCACUUGUUUUUUAUCCCAAUUUCCUGUCAUAAGAUGCGAGGAAAGGGUACUUCGUAUGAUAACAUGACGAUUAUUGUUCAAAACUAUGUGGAGAGCUUGAUAUAUAAGUAUCCGUACUGGAACAGAACAUUGGGUGCUGAUCAUUUUUUCGUCACCUGUCAUGAUGUUGGUGUAAGGGCAACGGAAGGACUUCCACUUCUUGUGAAGAAUUCUAUUCGGGCUGUGUGCUCCCCGAGCUACGAUGUUGGAUUUAUUCCACACAAAGACAUAGCUCUUCCUCAAGUGCUUCAACCAUUUGCUCUUCCUGCCGGAGGCAAUGACAUUGAGAACAGGACACGUUUAGGUUUUUGGGCUGGUCAUAGGAAUUCAAAAAUCAGAGUUAUAUUGGCUCGUGUCUGGGAAAAUGAUACAGAACUUGAUAUUGCAAACAACAGGAUAAAUAGGGCUACUGGACAUCUAGUCUACCAGAAAAAGUUCUACAGGACUAAAUUUUGCAUCUGUCCUGGUGGUUCACAGGUCAAUAGUGCACGCAUUGCAGAUUCAAUUCAUUAUGGCUGUAUACCUGGAUUCUUGUCUUUUGCUGACACAAUGUCUUGAAGAAGAUGCACAAACUUCUUGAAUUAAAUGCAAAAGUUAUACUGUCUAAUUACUAUGAUCUCCCCUUCAAUGACAUUCUUGAUUGGAAGAAGUUUGCGGUAGUACUCAGAGAGAAUGAUGUGUAUCAGCUAAAACAAAUUCUUAAGGCUAUAACCAAUGAAGAAUUUGUUUCCUUGCACCAAAAUUUAGUGAAGAUCCAGAAGCACUUCCAGUGGAAUACGCCACCUAUCAAAUUUGAUGCUUUUCACAUGGUCAUGUAUGAUUUGUGGCUACGGCAUCGUGUUAUCAAAUACUAAAUUGUGGCCUGGUUGUGAUUCCAAUGACACAAUGAUUGUAGAAGCUGUUUAUUAUCACAGUUACAACCACUUUCCUUUUGGUUCAUUUUAAUGCCCUUACAAGAAUGGGAUACAAGUUCUUCGAAUCAUCAGUGUUCAUUUACUCUCAUGUAUUAUAUUAAUUCUUUAUGUACCUAGGCAUGAUCAUUUGAUUAAUUGAUUGGUAAAGGAUUCCCCAAAGCAGUGUAACUUUUAUGUCCCAAACUAACACAAAACAGUACUGAUAUUGUAUAAAGGGUUUAGUAUGUAUGGGUAACAUAUCAAUUUGGUGCAA